Molecule: unclassified non-coding RNA, 858 nt
Filed under: Hevea brasiliensis (rubber tree)
Lineage: Eukaryota; Viridiplantae; Streptophyta; Magnoliopsida; Malpighiales; Euphorbiaceae
Source: RNAcentral
AAAUAGGGAAAUCAAACUUAUAUUAGUAUUGUCUUAAUUAGAAACAGCAUACAUGGGUCAUUUCACACACCAACUCCACAUUACAUAUACAUAGAACAUGGCUUAUACCAGAAAAAAGCAAUAAUACACAAGGUUCAAUUCACAGAGGAACAGACCAGAUUUCAUCAAAUACAUUGAACAUGGUUUUGCCUUAUUUAAGUGAUAUUUCACAAGGGCAGCUAGAGAUGGAAAUUCAUGAAAUAAUAACAUGCGAUGAACACCAGAGCUGGGCCGUGAAAACCCUAGGCGGGAACCAUGGUACUGUGGGUGUUGAGACCAUCAAUCUCCUCCAUGGGCUGUGGAGGUGUGACAUCUAGAUCCUCAGGAGAACCAUCAGUGCCGUCCUCGUUCUCUUCAACACUGAGACUAAUGGCUUCAAAGAUGAGAGCAGUCACUUCUUGGAACCUUGCUUCAGAGAGUGAGACCUCUGCGAGAAGCCUCCAUGCAUUUGCCUCAGUUGCACCCUCAUAAUCCUCCUUCCUCUUCAAGACCAUGUGUCCACUAAUCUCCCAAACAGCAGGAUUGACUUGGGUGUCGAGGAGUUCAGCGCUGACCUCUCCAAGCGCUUGUUUCUCCGCAUAGCACUGUGGGAGAAGGAAUAUCCUUUUCCCUGAAUCAGAGAUUAGGACAUUGUAAGGGAUGUUGUUCUCUUGCAGACAAAUGCAAGAAUCUGAGACAACAUCGGCCAAAUCCUCCAAAGUAUUUCCACCCUCAAAGACAAGACCUCGAACUGGGUAAUUCAGCAUCUCCGAUAUCUUCACUCCAGCAUCAGUGACAGUUAUCUUCUGAGUUGGGGCCUUCUCAAUGGGAAAUUGCACA